GAUCAAAGUGUAGUAUCUGUUCUUAUCAGCUUAAUAUCUGAUACGUGCCCCAUCGGGGUACUUCGAUAUUAAACUGAUUUUUGGAACUGGGCGAAGAGUCAGGAGCUUGCUCCGCCUUUGCCACGGGUUGGCC
RNAcentral lists this small nuclear RNA (133 nucleotides) under Eurythoe sp. AMW4444. RNAcentral describes it as "partial U2 small nuclear RNA". It matches the Rfam family "U2 spliceosomal RNA", at positions 25 to 156 of the family's 192-position model. Rfam says of the family: U2 is a small nuclear RNA (snRNA) component of the spliceosome (involved in pre-mRNA splicing). The record is from RNAcentral. Lineage: Eukaryota; Metazoa; Annelida; Polychaeta; Eunicida; Amphinomidae.